This 105-nucleotide microRNA precursor is filed under the name Canis lupus familiaris (dog). Its description in RNAcentral is "mir-8834 microRNA precursor family". It matches the Rfam family "mir-8834 microRNA precursor family". Lineage: Eukaryota; Metazoa; Chordata; Mammalia; Carnivora; Canidae. RNAcentral also lists the same sequence under 1 other name. The record is from Rfam by way of RNAcentral.
AGGAGCAACAGCCCCAAUGGCGGGGCCAGCUCUGGAAACCUGGAUUCAGCUCCGGCAGGAACUCCAGAGCUCUCUGUCUGCAGGGCCUGGAGGCUCCGGGGCGGG